AUUGAACGCUGGCGGCAUGCUUUACACAUGCAAGUCGAACGGUAACAGGCCUUCGGGUGCUGACGAGUGGCGAACGGGUGAGUAAUGCAUCGGAACGUGCCCAGAGGUGGGGGAUAACGCAGCGAAAGCUGUGCUAAUACCGCAUGUGAUCUGAGGAUGAAAGCGGGGGACCAGGCAGCAAUGUUUGGCCUCGCGCCUUUGGAGCGGCCGAUGUCAGAUUAGGUAGUUGGUGGGGUAAAGGCCUACCAAGCCGACGAUCUGUAGCUGGUCUGAGGGGACGACCAGCCACACUGGGACUGAGACACGGCCCAGACUCCUACGGGAGGCAGCAGUGGGGAAUUUUGGACAAUGGGCGCAAGCCUGAUCCAGCAAUGCCGCGUGCGGGAAGAAGGCCUUCGGGUUGUAAACCGCUUUUGUACGGAACGAAAAGGCUCUGGCUAAUACCUGGGGCUGAUGACGGUACCGUAAGAAUAAGCACCGGCUAACUACGUG
This 492-nucleotide ribosomal RNA is filed under the name uncultured bacterium. Its description in RNAcentral is "partial 16S ribosomal RNA". It matches the Rfam family "Bacterial small subunit ribosomal RNA", at positions 30 to 507 of the family's 1533-position model. The record is from RNAcentral.